UACGGAGGGGGCAAGCGUUGUUCGGAAUCAUUGGGCGUAAAGGGCGCGUAGGCGGCCGACCAAGUCGGGUGUGAAAUCCCUCGGCUCAACCGAGGAACUGCACUCGAUACUGGUUGGCUAGAGUCCGGAAGAGGCGAGUGGAAUUCCUGGUGUAGCGGUGGAAUGCGCAGAUAUCAGGAGGAACACCGGUGGCGAAGGCGGGUCUCUGGGCAGUAACUGACGCUGAGGAGCGAAAGCGUGGGGAGCGAACAGG
RNAcentral lists this ribosomal RNA (253 nucleotides) under uncultured bacterium. RNAcentral's name for it is "partial 16S ribosomal RNA". It matches the Rfam family "Bacterial small subunit ribosomal RNA", at positions 524 to 776 of the family's 1533-position model. The record is from RNAcentral.